Molecule: ribosomal RNA, 2343 nt
Filed under: Staphylococcus aureus VET0357R
Lineage: Bacteria; Bacillati; Bacillota; Bacilli; Caryophanales; Staphylococcaceae
Description: bacterial LSU rRNA
Rfam family: Bacterial large subunit ribosomal RNA
Source: RNAcentral
UUAAGUUAUUAAGGGCGCACGGUGGAUGCCUUGGCACUAGAAGCCGAUGAAGGACGUUACUAACGACGAUAUGCUUUGGGGAGCUGUAAGUAAGCUUUGAUCCAGAGAUUUCCGAAUGGGGAAACCCAGCAUGAGUUAUGUCAUGUUAUCGAUAUGUGAAUACAUAGCAUAUCAGAAGGCACACCCGGAGAACUGAAACAUCUUAGUACCCGGAGGAAGAGAAAGAAAAUUCGAUUCCCUUAGUAGCGGCGAGCGAAACGGGAAGAGCCCAAACCAACAAGCUUGCUUGUUGGGGUUGUAGGACACUCUAUACGGAGUUACAAAGGACGACAUUAGACGAAUCAUCUGGAAAGAUGAAUCAAAGAAGGUAAUAAUCCUGUAGUCGAAAAUGUUGUCUCUCUUGAGUGGAUCCUGAGUACGACGGAGCACGUGAAAUUCCGUUGGAAUCUGGGAGGACCAUCUCCUAAGGCUAAAUACUCUCUAGUGACCGAUAGUGAACCAGUACCGUGAGGGAAAGGUGAAAAGCACCCCGGAAGGGGAGUGAAAUAGAACCUGAAACCGUGUGCUUACAAGUAGUCAGAGCCCGUUAAUGGGUGAUGGCGUGCCUUUUGUAGAAUGAACCGGCGAGUUACGAUUUGAUGCAAGGUUAAGCAGUAAAUGUGGAGCCGUAGCGAAAGCGAGUCUGAAUAGGGCGUUUAGUAUUUGGUCGUAGACCCGAAACCAGGUGAUCUACCCUUGGUCAGGUUGAAGUUCAGGUAACACUGAAUGGAGGACCGAACCGACUUACGUUGAAAAGUGAGCGGAUGAACUGAGGGUAGCGGAGAAAUUCCAAUCGAACCUGGAGAUAGCUGGUUCUCUCCGAAAUAGCUUUAGGGCUAGCCUCAAGUGAUGAUUAUUGGAGGUAGAGCACUGUUUGGACGAGGGGCCCCUCUCGGGUUACCGAAUUCAGACAAACUCCGAAUGCCAAUUAAUUUAACUUGGGAGUCAGAACAUGGGUGAUAAGGUCCGUGUUCGAAAGGGAAACAGCCCAGACCACCAGCUAAGGUCCCAAAAUAUAUGUUAAGUGGAAAAGGAUGUGGCGUUGCCCAGACAACUAGGAUGUUGGCUUAGAAGCAGCCAUCAUUUAAAGAGUGCGUAAUAGCUCACUAGUCGAGUGACACUGCGCCGAAAAUGUACCGGGGCUAAACAUAUUACCGAAGCUGUGGAUUGUCCUUUGGACAAUGGUAGGAGAGCGUUCUAAGGGCGUUGAAGCAUGAUCGUAAGGACAUGUGGAGCGCUUAGAAGUGAGAAUGCCGGUGUGAGUAGCGAAAGACGGGUGAGAAUCCCGUCCACCGAUUGACUAAGGUUUCCAGAGGAAGGCUCGUCCGCUCUGGGUUAGUCGGGUCCUAAGCUGAGGCCGACAGGCGUAGGCGAUGGAUAACAGGUUGAUAUUCCUGUACCACCUAUAAUCGUUUUAAUCGAUGGGGGGACGCAGUAGGAUAGGCGAAGCGUGCGAUUGGAUUGCACGUCUAAGCAGUAAGGCUGAGUAUUAGGCAAAUCCGGUACUCGUUAAGGCUGAGCUGUGAUGGGGAGAAGACAUUGUGUCUUCGAGUCGUUGAUUUCACACUGCCGAGAAAAGCCUCUAGAUAGAAAAUAGGUGCCCGUACCGCAAACCGACACAGGUAGUCAAGAUGAGAAUUCUAAGGUGAGCGAGCGAACUCUCGUUAAGGAACUCGGCAAAAUGACCCCGUAACUUCGGGAGAAGGGGUGCUCUUUAGGGUUAACGCCCAGAAGAGCCGCAGUGAAUAGGCCCAAGCGACUGUUUAUCAAAAACACAGGUCUCUGCUAAACCGUAAGGUGAUGUAUAGGGGCUGACGCCUGCCCGGUGCUGGAAGGUUAAGAGGAGUGGUUAGCUUCUGCGAAGCUACGAAUCGAAGCCCCAGUAAACGGCGGCCGUAACUAUAACGGUCCUAAGGUAGCGAAAUUCCUUGUCGGGUAAGUUCCGACCCGCACGAAAGGCGUAACGAUUUGGGCACUGUCUCAACGAGAGACUCGGUGAAAUCAUAGUACCUGUGAAGAUGCAGGUUACCCGCGACAGGACGGAAAGACCCCGUGGAGCUUUACUGUAGCCUGAUAUUGAAAUUCGGCACAGCUUGUACAGGAUAGGUAGGAGCCUUUGAAACGUGAGCGCUAGCUUACGUGGAGGCGCUGGUGGGAUACUACCCUAGCUGUGUUGGCUUUCUAACCCGCACCACUUAUCGUGGUGGGAGACAGUGUCAGGCGGGCAGUUUGACUGGGGCGGUCGCCUCCUAAAAGGUAACGGAGGCGCUCAAAGGUUCCCUCAGAAUGGUUGGAAAUCAUUCA